CAAGCCUAUGACGGGUAGCCGGUUCUGAAAAGGAUGUCCGGCCGCAAUGGAACUGAGACACGGUCCAUACUCCUACGGGAGGCAGCAGUGGGGAAUCUUGCGCAAUGGGCGAAAGCCUGACGCAGCAAUCCCGCGUGAAGGAUGAAGCAUUAUGGUGUGUAAACUUCUUUUCUGGUGGAAGACGAAUGACGGUACACCAGGAAUAAGGGACGGCUAACUACGUGCCAGCAGCCGCGGUAAUACGUAGGUCCCAAGUGUUAUCCGGAAUUACUGGGCGUAAAGAGUCUGUAGCCGGGUUUGUAAGUCUGUUUUCAAAUCCUAUGGCUUAACCAUAGAGAGGGAAUGGAUACUGCAAACCUUGAGAUUAUUGGGGGUUGAUGGAAUUUCCGGUGGAGCGGUGAAAUGCGUUGAUAUCGGAAGGAACGCCAAAAGUGAAAGCAGUCAACUACAAUAAAUCUGACGGUCAGAGACGAAAGCUUGGGGAGCAAACGGGAUUAGAUACCCCGGUAGUCCAAGCCGUAGAUUAUGCAUGCUAGGUGUCUUGUUCACUUUAUGUGAGCGGGGUGCCGUAAUCUAACGAGUUAAGCAUGCCGCCUGGGUAGUAUAUUCGCCAGAAUGAAACUCACGGGGAUAGGCGGGGGAACCACACAAGCAGUGGAUUGUCUCGAUUACUUGGAUUAUACGCCAAGAAUUCUUCCUAGACUUGACAUAUAUUGUGUCCUACGUGAAAGUGUAGUAAUCCCGAUUUUGUCGGGAUACGAUAUACAGGUGGUGCAUGGUCGUCGUCUAGCUCGUGCCGCAAGUAUGUCCAGUUAAGUCUGGGAACGAGCGCUACCCUCGUUGUUAGUU
This 849-nucleotide ribosomal RNA is filed under the name uncultured organism. RNAcentral's name for it is "bacterial SSU rRNA". It matches the Rfam family "Bacterial small subunit ribosomal RNA", at positions 269 to 1116 of the family's 1533-position model. The record is from RNAcentral.